GACGAACGCUGGCGGCGUGCUUAACACAUGCAAGUCGAACGGUGAAGCGCCUUCCUUUUUGGUGGGUGUGGAUGAGUGGCGAACGGGUGAGUAACACGUGAGUAACCUGCCCCCUUCUUCUGGAUAACCGCAUGAAAGGGUGGCUAAUACGGGAUAUUCUGGGUCUGUCGCAUGAUGGGUCUGGGAAAGAUAUUGUUUCGGUGGGGGAUGGGCUCGCGGCCUAUCAGCUUGUUGGUGGGGUGAUGGCCUACCAAGGCGGUGACGGGUAGCCGGCCUGAGAGGGUGGACGGUCACACUGGGACUGAGACACGGCCCAGACUCCUACGAGAGGCAGCAGUGGGGAAUAUUGCACAAUGGGCGCAAGCCUGAUGCAGCGACGCCGCGUGAGGGAUGGAGGCCUUCGGGUUGUGAACCUCUUUCGCCAGUGAAGCAGGCCUGCCUCGUUUGUGGGUGGGUUGACGGUAGCUGGAUAAGAAGCGCCGGCUAACUACGUG
This 494-nucleotide ribosomal RNA is filed under the name uncultured bacterium. RNAcentral's name for it is "partial 16S ribosomal RNA". It matches the Rfam family "Bacterial small subunit ribosomal RNA", at positions 28 to 507 of the family's 1533-position model. The record is from RNAcentral.